CACACCCUAAACGAUGAAUACUAGAUGUUGGUCUUUUUUAAGAUCAGUAUCCAAGCUAACGCAUUAAGUAUUCCACCUGGGAAGUACAAUCGCAAGGUUGAAACUCAAAGGAAUUGACGGGGGCCCGCACAAGCAGUGGAGCAUGUGGUUUAAUUCGACGCAACGCGAAGAACCUUACCUAGGCUUGAAACGCUGAUUAAUCCUGAUGAAAGUCAGAGUGCCGCAAGGCGAAUCAGUACAGGUGC
RNAcentral lists this ribosomal RNA (245 nucleotides) under uncultured Ignavibacterium sp. RNAcentral's name for it is "partial 16S ribosomal RNA". It matches the Rfam family "Bacterial small subunit ribosomal RNA", at positions 796 to 1041 of the family's 1533-position model. The record is from RNAcentral. Lineage: Bacteria; Pseudomonadati; Ignavibacteriota; Ignavibacteria; Ignavibacteriales; Ignavibacteriaceae.